Long non-coding RNA from Priapulus caudatus, 1113 nucleotides. RefSeq lists it as uncharacterized. The record is from RefSeq and is a predicted model, not a curated record. NCBI's taxonomy places the organism in Eukaryota, Metazoa, Priapulida, Priapulimorpha, Priapulimorphida, Priapulidae. The transcript is spliced from 2 exons.
UACGUGACCCUCGAACUACUAAUUUGAUGGCCAGAAACUACAGAUUGCUUCAAAUAUGUGUUGGCAUCUCUGGGUGGAGGAUAUCGCGCGUCAGGUGCUACAAGUAGACCAGAGGGUGAAGAAGAGUGAGAAGUACCCAGGGGAGGACUGCGAGAUGUGCUGUGCGAAUGUUUGGUUGCAGUCUUGGAAGCGAUGGUUAGGGUGAAGGAUAUCAUGGGUAAUGUGAGGUGGCAUUGGGAGAUUUGCCGAGUGGAUGUUCGGUUUGCAGUCGUGUAGGCAAUGGAUGGUUAUGUUUGAGGAUAUCGCGUGUCAGGUGCUACAAGUAACACUAGAGCGUGAAGAAGAAUGAGUAGUGGGUGCAGGAGGGCUGAGUGAUGUGCCAAGUCGAUCUGUGGUUGGAUGUUGGAGUGGAUCUGUGGUUGCAGUCGUGUAGGCGAUGGUUAGGUUGGUCGAUAUCGAGGGUCAGGGGAGAAACAAGUAGACGAGAGGGUGAAGCAGCAGCAGGGGCAGGAUAUGUGGUUGCAGUCAUGUAGGUGAUGGGAGAGUGGAGAGCAUUGUUGUCCGAGGUUUAUGUAUACGUUGGAAGUUAUCUUCUUCCUUUUCAUGCCAGUUGCAACAGUGUUCCUGUGUGUGUGAGUGACUGUUGACUGCAGGCUUUGUACUCAAGUGUUAGACAGUGCAUAUGGAUAGUUGUUGGGAGGCUAUAAAAACUAUAAAAAUUGUCUUCCUGACGUUUUGCCAUCACUUGCAACCAAGUGUGUGGGUGUGUGGCAGAGGGUAUGUGUCUUUGUGACCAAGGUUGCUGUUGGGAACAAGAGAAGCAACAUGUGGCAGAUGCUUGGAUGCACUGUCAGCAACUGUAUUAUAUGUAGCAUAGUAGCGUUAGCAAAUUAUCUAUCUUAUUGAAAUCUUUAAAAAAAAAUUAACACGUGUAGCUCCUGAUGUAUUCCAUUGUGUAUGAUUAAUCUUAAGGUGUGCCAUAUUUUAAAGAAAGCGAUUUUAAUAAAUAGAUUGCCUUGCAGCAGGUAUACAUGUGAAAUAAUGUGAAUGUUCCGCGAUAUAAAUUGAAACGAUAUGAAUAUACUGGUACGAUUGCCUCCUCGUAUAAUAUCA